AUGGUGCCGCGCACACCUCCACGGCUACUCCGCGGCAACGCGGUGUUCCCGGCGGAAGGCGGCACCCACGCGCGACCGCGGGCUCCCGGCAGCGCGUCCACAGGAGCAACCGACGGCCAGUGCUUGGAGCGGCAGCUCUGUCCUGCGCGGCAGUCAGGGCAGAAUGAGAAAGAACAGAGGCUGUGGAUCUCCAUCGAUUCAAGAAUUUUGGCCUCAACAAUGAACGCCAAUGGAUUCCCAUCGAUUCAUUGUGCAAAAAGGAAAAAGCAUCGUCAGCGGGGCCCGCGUCCAUGCACCUUGCACACACACGGCUGUCCAGCGAUGCGUCGAGGUGUCUGCCGGCCUCUAACGCGAGGCACGACUGCGUGGCCUUACCUCUCAACGCGGAGGCACUGCGCGGACCUCGACGAAACGGCAACGCCCUCCGGCGCACCAGCCAUGAUGUGGCGGCGCGGCCUCGGCGCGAGGCCGCCUAAAGCGUGA
RNAcentral lists this ribosomal RNA (483 nucleotides) under Triticum aestivum (bread wheat). RNAcentral's name for it is "partial small subunit ribosomal RNA". Lineage: Eukaryota; Viridiplantae; Streptophyta; Magnoliopsida; Poales; Poaceae. The record is from RNAcentral.